Molecule: non-coding RNA, 506 nt
Organism: Mus caroli (Ryukyu mouse)
Lineage: Eukaryota; Metazoa; Chordata; Mammalia; Rodentia; Muridae
Source: RefSeq, a predicted model, not a curated record
AGGCGGGUAGGAGGGAACCAGCCGCUGCCUCUCAGAGUCUUGGCCUCGUUGGGGAGAGUUGAGAGGGGGAGCAAACUGGGUGGAAGAUUUGGGGAUCUUGCCUAGAAGCGCAAAAGAGGGCAGCUGGCCUAUUUUGCUUUUUCUGCUUGUCUGAUCCAGGAUGACUUGGGACCGCACGUUUAAGGGGUAUCACCCAUGGGUUGAUUUCUGCACAGAAGGAGAGGUAGGGAGGGAAAAAAGAAGACACUUUGAUGGAAUCCUUUCCUGUUCUUCCGGAUGAAGAGGCAGGACUUUCACGGGAGUCACUUCGCACUGAUGCCUGCGUUUGUUGGACCGCCUGUCUCCCAAGCAGCUAGCUUCACCUCGCUGCGUGCGGACACGGGGGAGGGGGAGGAGAAGUCUUCGGACAGAGGUGGGGAUCCUACAGGCUGUCCUCAGGACAAGGCUUUGCCUGUCGGAGCCCAAGGCUACAGAUCUCUUUGAAAAUAAAGUAAUAUCAAACAAAA